RNAcentral lists this ribosomal RNA (403 nucleotides) under uncultured Oscillibacter sp. RNAcentral describes it as "bacterial SSU rRNA". It matches the Rfam family "Bacterial small subunit ribosomal RNA", at positions 356 to 774 of the family's 1533-position model. Lineage: Bacteria; Bacillati; Bacillota; Clostridia; Eubacteriales; Oscillospiraceae. The record is from RNAcentral.
GGGGAAUCUUGGGCAAUGGACGCAAGUCUGACCCAGCAACGCCGCGUGAAGGAAGAAGGCUUUCGGGUUGUAAACUUCUUUUAAGGGGGAAGAGUAGAAGACGGUACCCCUUGAAUAAGCCACGGCUAACUACGUGCCAGCAGCCGCGGUAAUACGUAGGGGGCAAGCGUUGUCCGGAAUGAUUGGGCGUAAAGGGGGCGUAGGCGGCCCGGUAAGUCUGGAGUGAAAGUCCUGCUUUUAAGGUGGGAAUUGCUUUGGAUACUGUCGGGCUUGAGUGCAGGAGAGGUAAGCGGAAUUCCCGGUGUAGCGGUGAAAUGCGUAGAGAUCGGGAGGAACACCAGUGGCGAAGGCGGCUUACUGGACUGUAACUGACACUGAGGCACGAAAGCGUGGGGAGCAAACA